AUUGAACGCUGGCGGCAUGCUUUACACAUGCAAGUCGAACGGUAACAGGCCGCAAGGUGCUGACGAGUGGCGAACGGGUGAGUAAUGCAUCGGAACGUGCCAGUCGUGGGGGAUAACUACUCGAAAGAGUAGCUAAUACCGCAUACGAUCUAAGGAGGAAAGCGGGGGACCGUAAUGCCUCGCGCGAUUGGAGCGGCCGAUGUCAGAUUAGGUAGUUGGUGGGGUAAAGGCUCACCAAGCCAACGAUCUGUAGCUGGUCUGAGAGGACGACCAGCCACACUGGGACUGAGACACGGCCCAGACUCCUACGGGAGGCAGCAGUGGGGAAUUUUGGACAAUGGGCGCAAGCCUGAUCCAGCAAUGCCGCGUGCAGGAAGAAGGCCUUCGGGUUGUAAACUGCUUUUGUACGGAACGAAACGGCUCUGGUUAAUACCCGGGGCUAAUGACGGUACCGUAAGAAUAAGCACCGGCUAACUACGUG
RNAcentral lists this ribosomal RNA (481 nucleotides) under uncultured bacterium. Its description in RNAcentral is "partial 16S ribosomal RNA". It matches the Rfam family "Bacterial small subunit ribosomal RNA", at positions 30 to 507 of the family's 1533-position model. The record is from RNAcentral.